UACGGAGGGUGCAAGCGUUAUCCGGAUUCACUGGGUUUAAAGGGUGCGUAGGCGGGCAGGUAAGUCAGAGGUGAAAUCUCCGGGCUUAACCCGGAAACUGCCUUUGAUACUAUCUGUCUUGAAUAUGGUGGAGGUAAGCGGAAUAUGUCAUGUAGCGGUGAAAUGCUUAGAUAUGACAUAGAACACCCAUUGCGAAGGCAGCUUACUACGCCUAUAUUGACGCUGAGGCACGAAAGCGUGGGGAGCAAACAGG
RNAcentral lists this ribosomal RNA (253 nucleotides) under uncultured bacterium. Its description in RNAcentral is "partial 16S ribosomal RNA". It matches the Rfam family "Bacterial small subunit ribosomal RNA", at positions 524 to 776 of the family's 1533-position model. The record is from RNAcentral.